UUAGGGGUUAGGGUGAACAUGGAUUCCAGUUUGCUCCCAGUCUCUUCAAUGCUGUGACUGGAUGAGACUCUUCUACACUACUGCAGAACAGAUAUGUGGUUCUAACAGGGCAUGAAGACUCCCCUCUAAUCUGGGCUUUCCUGUUGUGGAAAGGAUUCUAGGAAAGGAUGCCAACAGGCCAGAUGUCAUCUUUUUUGGUGGGCUGUACACAUCAGACUGGACUUGCCUUAAAUGAGAUUCAGACAAUCCUGUUUGCCAAAUGCCCAACAAGAAAAGAGCAGUUAUACAGAACUUGUGGUAGAAGGAGGGAAACUGAGGAUCUUAGAAAUCUCUGUCUGAUGACUAACUGCUACCAGUCAGAGUAUGGAGAGUUGGACACUUCACCACUCAGAAAUGUUUAUUUAAAGCGAGGUGCAGUGGCUCAUGCCUGUAAUCCCAUCACUUUGGAAGGCUGAGGUGGGCGGAUCAUGAGGUCAAGAGAUUGAGACCAUCCUGGCGGACAUGGUGAAACCUCAUCUCUACUAAAAAUACAAAAAUUAGCUGGCGUGGUGGCGCACACCUCUAGUCCCAACUACUCAGGAGACUGAGGCAGGCGAAUUGUUUGAACCUAGGAGGCAGAGGUUGCCGUGAGC
Molecule: long non-coding RNA, 632 nt
Filed under: Rhinopithecus bieti (black snub-nosed monkey)
Lineage: Eukaryota; Metazoa; Chordata; Mammalia; Primates; Cercopithecidae
Description: lncRNA (ENSRBIG00000046162.1)
Source: RNAcentral